GUCUUUGUUUGUUAACUUUUAGAAAGUAUUUUCGCACCGUAUAAAUACAUCUCAUUUUUCUCUGUUUUGUCAGUAGUUGUUUUUGGUAUUAUUCGUGCAACGUGGAAGCUAACUUAGUGGUUUGGUGUUCGUACAAAAAAGCAGUCUUAAAGAUCAUCUUAGUACUCUCAACCCGUAACCGCAAAUAGAAUAGCAGCAAUCUUAAGCAUGGACUUAAGUCAACUGAAUCAAACCUGUCUUGCAGAAGGUGAUUUUGAGCAGCCGAUUGUCAAACUGCAUGAAUUGCCGAUAGGCGUUCCGUUUAAAAUUACUAGAGCCAAAAUUGUUAAUACAAAAUUUGGCAAUUCCGUGUUGCUGCAAUUAGAAA
Cylas formicarius (sweet potato weevil) is the source of this 367-nucleotide long non-coding RNA. RefSeq lists it as uncharacterized. Lineage: Eukaryota; Metazoa; Arthropoda; Insecta; Coleoptera; Brentidae. The transcript has 3 exons. The record is from RefSeq and is a predicted model, not a curated record.